UACGAAGGGUGCAAGCGUUACUCGGAAUUACUGGGCGUAAAGCGUGCGUAGGUGGUUGUUUAAGUCUGUUGUGAAAGCCCUGGGCUCAACCUGGGAAUUGCAGUGGAUACUGGGCGACUAGAGUGUGGUAGAGGGUAGUGGAAUCCCGGUGUAGCAGUGAAAUGCGUAGAGAUCGGGAGGAACAUCCAUGGCGAAGGCAGCUACCUGGACCAAC
This 214-nucleotide ribosomal RNA is filed under the name uncultured bacterium. Its description in RNAcentral is "partial 16S ribosomal RNA". It matches the Rfam family "Bacterial small subunit ribosomal RNA", at positions 524 to 738 of the family's 1533-position model. The record is from RNAcentral.